AGUCGAGGGGAACGGCAUCAAGCGCUUGCGCCUGAUGGACGUCGACCGGCGCACGGGUGAGUAACGCGUAUCCAACCUGCCCCACACUAAGGGACAACCCGCAGAAAUGUGGGCUAAUACCUUAUAUUUUCCACCAAGGGCAUCGUCGAUGGAACAAAGAUUUAUCGGUAUGGGAUGGGGAUGCGUCCGAUUAGGUUGUUGGCGGGGUAACGGCCCACCAAGCCAUCGAUCGGUAGGGGUUCUGAGAGGAAGGUCCCCCACAUAGGAACUGAGACACGGUCCUAACUCCUACGGGAGGCAGCAGUGAGGAAUAUUGGUCAAUGGGCGGGAGCCUGAACCAGCCAAGUAGCGUGCAGGAAGACGGCCCUACGGGUUGUAAACUGCUUUUAUGCGGGGAUAAAGGAGUCCACGUGUGGGCUUUUGCAGGUACCGCAUGAAUAAGGACCGGCUAAUUCCGUGCCAGCAGCCGCGGUAAUACGGAAGGUCCGGGCGUUAUCCGGAUUUAUUGGGUUUAAAGGGAGCGUAGGCCGCGUUUUAAGCGUGUUGUGAAAUGUAGGCGCCCAACGUCUGCAUCGCAGCGCGAACUGGAACGCUUGAGUACGCGCAACGUUGGCGGAAUUCGUCGUGUAGCGGUGAAAUGCUUAGAUAUGACGAAGAACUCCGAUUGCGAAGGCAGCUGACGGGAGCGGCACUGACGCUUAAGCUCGAAGGUGCGGGUAUCAAACAGGAUUAGAUACCCUGGUAGUCCGCACGGUAAACGAUGGAUGCUCGCUGUGUGCCUUUUAUGGUACGCGGCUAAGCGAAAGC
Molecule: ribosomal RNA, 807 nt
Filed under: uncultured bacterium
Lineage: Bacteria
Description: bacterial SSU rRNA
Rfam family: Bacterial small subunit ribosomal RNA
Source: RNAcentral